UUGAGGGAUGAAUCUAGU
This 18-nucleotide non-coding RNA is filed under the name Arabidopsis thaliana (thale cress). Lineage: Eukaryota; Viridiplantae; Streptophyta; Magnoliopsida; Brassicales; Brassicaceae. The record is from RNAcentral.